CCUACGGGGGGCGGCAGUGAGGAAUAUUGGUCAAUGGACGAGAGUCUGAACCAGCCAAGUAGCGUGAAGGAUGACUGCCCUAUGGGUUGUAAACUUCUUUUAUAUGGGAAUAAAAUGUUCCACGUGUGGGAUUUUGUAUGUACCAUAUGAAUAAGGAUCGGCUAACUCCGUGCCAGCAGCCGCGGUAAUACGGAGGAUCCGAGCGUUAUCCGGAUUUAUUGGGUUUAAAGGGAGCGUAGGUGGAUUGUUAAGUCAGUUGUGAAAGUUUGCGGCUCAACCGUAAAAUUGCAGUUGAAACUGGCAGUCUUGAGUACAGUAGAGGUGGGCGGAAUGCGUGGUGUAGCGGUGAAAUGCUUAGAUAUCACGAAGAACUCCGAUUGCGAAGGCAGUUCACUGGACUGCAACUGACACUGAGGCUCGAAAGUGUGGGUAUCAAACAGGAUUAGAUACCCCUGUAGUC
This 460-nucleotide ribosomal RNA is filed under the name uncultured bacterium. Its description in RNAcentral is "partial 16S ribosomal RNA". It matches the Rfam family "Bacterial small subunit ribosomal RNA", at positions 338 to 795 of the family's 1533-position model. The record is from RNAcentral.